RNAcentral lists this ribosomal RNA (465 nucleotides) under uncultured bacterium. RNAcentral's name for it is "partial 16S ribosomal RNA". It matches the Rfam family "Bacterial small subunit ribosomal RNA", at positions 338 to 795 of the family's 1533-position model. The record is from RNAcentral.
CCUACGGGUGGCAGCAGUGGGGAAUAUUGCGCAAUGGGCGAAAGCCUGACGCAGCGACGCCGCGUGAGGGAUGAAGGUCUUCGGAUCGUAAACCUCUGUCAGCAGGGAAGAACGGUCACUGUGCUAAUCAGCAGUGAAUUGACGGUACCUGCAAGGAAAGCACCGCCUAACUCCGUGCCAGCAGCCGCGGUAAUAGGGAGGGUGCGAGCGUUAAUCGGAAUUACUGGGCGUAAAGCGCUCGUAGGCGGUAUGUCAAGUCAAGUGUGAAAGCCCCGCGCUCAACGUGGGAACUGCUUUUGAAACUGGCAAACUGGAGUGUGUGAGAGGAUAGUGGAAUGCCAGGUGUAGGAGUGAAAUCCGUAGAUAUCUGGAGGAACAUCAGUGGCGAAGGCGACUAUCUGGCACAUAACUGACGCUGAGGAGCGAAAGCGUGGGUAGCAAACAGGAUUAGAUACCCUUGUAGUC